CCAGGCGGUUCUGGAAGACAGCGAUGCUCCGGCGCGGGGCCUCCUCUGUAAAGUGCUCGUCCGGUGGACAUGUUGCAAGGGCUUUACAUGGACCAUCACAACAGGACAAUCCAGUAAGACAGGCAGGUGCCUGGUCCCAGUGAGGGAGCCACCAUGUCGCUGGUGAUCGGCAGCUUGCUGGGCAAGCUGGAGAGGCAGUGGAGCAUGACUGGGUUGACGCCAUUCAGGGCUUGUUAAGCUGUGCCUCUCCUAGAGAACCAUCUCCUACAUCUCCACCUCAUAUCAAGCCUACAUGUUCUUCUGUGUGCAUCUUAGAUGCAAAGUCCUUCAUGAAGCAUUGUCUGAUCACCCCCCCAAACACACACCUUGGUGUAUCUUUCAAAAAAUACCCACUACUUCUUUCGUUAUAUUGUGAACCCUUCAUUAUGUCACUACUCAAAUAAACUCCUCUUAUACUGUGGGCUCCUUAUGGCCAGGACUGGGCUGUGUUGCCCUGACAUACCCAGUUUGUAAUAAUCACUCACUAGCUAGGCCAAGUCAAAUGGAAGGGAAUGGAACGGAGGACAGGCAGGUUUGUGGCAGUCGGUCAGUAAAGUAAGCUGUGGAAGGAGGCGGAUGUGUCAUAAAGAGUGUGGGCACCUGGAGAAGGCAUGGGGGCAAGGGGGCAAUAGUGACCUGACAAGCCCAGGGACAGGUUCCUACGUGCUCAGUAAGGAGCCACUCACUCCUUCCGCGAGCGUGUGCUGAGUGGCUGCCUGCUAAGAACCUAGGGGAUGGGGAAAACUCAACAGGAGUAUGGUCAUUAAAGCAGAGGCUGAGGAGGCAAGAGAGGACAAAGAAAAGGACUUCCUUUUCCAAGGCCUGCCACUCUCAUCCUUUAGGGCACCCUGCAGUCACGCCACACUAAAGCCCAGUGACUCCCUCUCCUCCAUAAAUGACCAGAGGCUG
Odocoileus virginianus texanus is the source of this 948-nucleotide long non-coding RNA. RefSeq lists it as uncharacterized. The record is from RefSeq and is a predicted model, not a curated record. NCBI's taxonomy places the organism in Eukaryota, Metazoa, Chordata, Mammalia, Artiodactyla, Cervidae.